Molecule: ribosomal RNA, 429 nt
Filed under: Bacteroidota bacterium
Lineage: Bacteria; Pseudomonadati; Bacteroidota
Description: Bacteroidetes bacterium partial 16S ribosomal RNA
Rfam family: Bacterial small subunit ribosomal RNA
Source: RNAcentral
UAGGGAAUCUUCGGCAAUGGGGGGAACCCUGACCGAGCAACGCCGCGUGAGUGAAGAAGGUUUUCGGAUCGUAAAGCUCUGUUGUUAAGGAAGAACGAGUGUGAGAAUGGAAAGUUCAUACUGUGACGGUACUUAACCAGAAAGGGACGGCUAACUACGUGCCAGCAGCCGCGGUAAUACGUAGGUCCCGAGCGUUGUCCGGAUUUAUUGGGCGUAAAGCGAGCGCAGGCGGUUAGAUAAGUCUGAAGUUAAAGGCAGUGGCUCAACCAUUGUAGGCUUUGGAAACUGUUUAACUUGAGUGCAGAAGGGGAGAGUGGAAUUCCAUGUGUAACGGUGAAAUGCGUAGAUAUAUGGAGGAACACCGGUGGCGAAAGCGGCUCUCUAGUCUGUAACUGACGCUGAGGCUCGAAAGCGUGGGGAGCGAACAGG